GCAUGUCGAACGAAGCACUUGUGCUUAGUGGCGAAUGGGUGAGUAACACGUACUUAAUCUACCUUUUAUUUUGGGACAACCGUUGGAAACGACUGCUAAUACCGGAUAUGGGAAAGAAUCGCAUGGUUUUUUCCUGAAAGGGGCGUUUGCCUCGCUAAAGGAUGAGAGUGCGUGACAUUAGGUAGUUGGUAGGGUAAAGGCCUACCAAGCCGAUGAUGGAUAGCGGGGUCGAGAGGCUGAAC
This 242-nucleotide ribosomal RNA is filed under the name uncultured bacterium. RNAcentral's name for it is "partial 16S ribosomal RNA". It matches the Rfam family "Bacterial small subunit ribosomal RNA", at positions 57 to 305 of the family's 1533-position model. The record is from RNAcentral.